Molecule: transfer RNA, 67 nt
Filed under: Trichodectes canis
Lineage: Eukaryota; Metazoa; Arthropoda; Insecta; Psocodea; Trichodectidae
Description: tRNA-Glu
Source: RNAcentral
UACUUAAUAGUUUAAUUACUAAAACAAUCCUUUUUCGUAGGAUAAAAGAAUUAUAUUUCUUAAGUUU